RNAcentral lists this ribosomal RNA (396 nucleotides) under Triticum aestivum (bread wheat). RNAcentral's name for it is "partial small subunit ribosomal RNA". The record is from RNAcentral. Lineage: Eukaryota; Viridiplantae; Streptophyta; Magnoliopsida; Poales; Poaceae.
AUGGGCAACUACAUGAGCAACCAGUUGUCGUACCGGCACACGCAGCGGGUGGUGGUGAAGAUGGACAUGGAGAAAGGCGGCUGCGGCACCGAGUUCCACUGGGCCCGCACGAAUUGCGAGGGGAGGAAGAACGCCGCCGACGUGCAACGCUGCAUCAAGUCGACGGCGGCGCUGCAGGAGUGCAUGGAGGGCAACAAGUGCCACUUCAACAACUACAUCAAGAUCAUGAACAAAGGGCUGGACGAGGACGAGCAGCGCCACGGGAGCAGCAGCAGAUACUUGUUGUUUUGGGAACAACAGGAUCGCCGGUGGAGGUGGAGGUGGUGGACCGGCAUGAUCAGGACCUCGCCGCCACCGGCCUCUGAUAAUCCCUUCGCCGCCCCCUCAACUAGAUAG